GGGUAAUUUUCCGCAAUGGGCGAAAGCCUGACGGAGCAAGACCGCGUGAGGGAGGAAGGCUCUUGGGUUGUAAACCUCUUUUCUUGGGGAAUAAAAAAAUGAAGGUACCCAAGGAAUCAGCAUCGGCUAACUCCGUGCCAGCAGCCGCGGUAAUACGGAGGAUGCAAGCGUUAUCCGGAAUUAUUGGGCGUAAAGCGUCCGCAGGUGGCACUUCAAGUCUGCUGUCAAAGACCGGGGCUUAACCCUGGAAAGGCAGUGGAAACUGAAGCGCUAGAGUGUCGUAGGGGUAGAGGGAAUUCCUGGUGUAGCGGUGAAAUGCGUAGAGAUCAGGAAGAACAUCGGUGGCGAAAGCGCUCUACUGGACGACAACUGACACUCAGGGACGAAAGCUAGGGGAGCGAAUGGGAUUAGAUACCCCAGUAGUCCUAGCCGUAAACGAUGGAUACUAGGUGUGGCUUGUAUCGACCCGAGCCGUGCCGUAGCUAACGCGUUAAGUAUCC
Molecule: ribosomal RNA, 500 nt
Filed under: uncultured cyanobacterium
Lineage: Bacteria; Bacillati; Cyanobacteriota
Description: bacterial SSU rRNA
Rfam family: Bacterial small subunit ribosomal RNA
Source: RNAcentral